GCGUCGUCUUCAGAGUUUGAUCCUGGCUCAGGAUGAACGCUGGCGGCGUGCUUAACACAUGCAAGUCGAACGAACGACUGUUAUUGGAACCCUUCGGGGCGAAGAAAAUAGAAGUUAGUGGCGGACGGGUGCGUAACGCGUGGGUAAUCUGCCUUUGUCAAAGGAAUAACUAUUCGAAAGAAUAGCUAAAACCAUAUAACAUAUCACUAGGGCAUCCUAGAGAUAUCAAAACUGAGGUGGACAAAGAUGAGCCCGCGUCUGAUUAGCUAGUUGGUGAGAUAAAAGCCCACCAAGGCAACGAUCAGUAGCCGACCUGAGAGGGUGAACGGCCACAUUGGAACUGAGACACGGUCCAA
RNAcentral lists this ribosomal RNA (356 nucleotides) under uncultured bacterium. RNAcentral describes it as "bacterial SSU rRNA". It matches the Rfam family "Bacterial small subunit ribosomal RNA", at positions 1 to 334 of the family's 1533-position model. The record is from RNAcentral.